UACGGAGGAUGCGAGCGUUAUCCGGAUUUAUUGGGUUUAAAGGGUGCGUAGGCGGAUCGUUAAGUCAGUGGUCAAAUUGAGGGGCUCAACCCCUUCCCGCCAUUGAAACUGGCGAUCUUGAGUGGAAGAGAAGUAUGCGGAAUGCGUGGUGUAGCGGUGAAAAGCAUAGAUAUCACGCAGAACCCCGAUUGCGAAGGCAGCAUGCCGGCUUCCUACUGACGCUGAAGCACGAAAGCGUGGGGAUCGAACAGG
Molecule: ribosomal RNA, 252 nt
Filed under: uncultured bacterium
Lineage: Bacteria
Description: partial 16S ribosomal RNA
Rfam family: Bacterial small subunit ribosomal RNA
Source: RNAcentral